Molecule: ribosomal RNA, 837 nt
Filed under: Wolbachia pipientis
Lineage: Bacteria; Pseudomonadati; Pseudomonadota; Alphaproteobacteria; Rickettsiales; Anaplasmataceae
Description: bacterial SSU rRNA
Rfam family: Bacterial small subunit ribosomal RNA
Source: RNAcentral
UGCUAUGGUAUAACUUAGUGGCAGACGGGUGAGUAAUGUAUAGGAAUCUACCUAGUAGUACGGAAUAAUUGUUGGAAACGACAACUAAUACCGUAUACGCCCUACGGGGGAAAAAUUUAUUGCUAUUAGAUGAGCCUAUAUUAGAUUAGCUAGUUGGUGGGGUAAUAGCCUACCAAGGUAAUGAUCUAUAGCUGAUCUGAGAGGAUGAUCAGCCACACUGGAACUGAGAUACGGUCCAGACUCCUACGGGAGGCAGCAGUGGGGAAUAUUGGACAAUGGGCGAAAGCCUGAUCCAGCCAUGCCGCAUGAGUGAAGAAGGCCUUUGGGUUGUAAAGCUCUUUUAGUGAGGAAGAUAAUGACGGUACUCACAGAAGAAGUCCUGGCUAACUCCGUGCCAGCAGCCGCGGUAAUACGGAGAGGGCUAGCGUUAUUCGGAAUUAUUGGGCGUAAAGGGCGCGUAGGCUGGUUAAUAAGUUAAAAGUGAAAUCCCGAGGCUUAACCUUGGAAUUGCUUUUAAAACUAUUAAUCUAGAGAUUGAAAGAGGAUAGGGGAAUUCCUGAUGUAGAGGUAAAAUUCGUAAAUAUUAGGAGGAACACCAGUGGCGAAGGCGUCUAUCUGGUUCAAAUCUGACGCUGAAGCGCGAAGGCGUGGGGAGCAAACAGGAUUAGAUACCCUGGUAGUCCACGCUGUAAACGAUGAAUGUUAAAUAUGGGGAGUUUACUUUCUGUAUUACAGCUAACGCGUUAAACAUUCCGCCUGGGGACUACGGUCGCAAGAUUAAAACUCAAAGGAAUUGACGGGGACCCGCACAAGCGGUGGAGCAUGUGGUUAAUUCGA